UCAGAUGCGAAAGCGUGGGUAGCAAACAGGAUUAGAUACCCUGGUAGUCCACGCCGUAAACGCUGUCUACUUGGAGGUUGAGGUUUUGGAUUUUGGCUUUCGGCGCUAACGCAUUAAGUAGACCGCCUGGGGAGUACGGCCGCAAGGUUAAAACUCAAAUGAAUUGACGGGGGCCCGCACAAGCGGUGGAGCAUGUGGUUUAAUUCGAUGCAACGCGAAGAACCUUACCUACUCUUGACAUCCAGCGAAGCCUUUAGAGAUAGAGGUGUGCCUUCGGGAGCGCUGAGACAGGUGCUGCAUGGCUGUCGUCAGCUCGUGUUGUGAAAUGUUGGGUUAAGUCCCGCAACGAGCGCAACCCUUAUCCUUGUUUGCCAGCACAUAAUGGUGGGAACUCCAGGGAGACUGCCGGUGAUAAACCGGAGGAAGGUGGGGACGACGUCAAGUCAUCAUGGCCCUUACGAGUAGGGCUACACACGUGCUACAAUGGCAGAUACAGAGGGCAGCGAGACAGCGAUGUUUAGCGAAUCCCUUAAAGUUUGUCGUAGUCCGGAUUGGAGUCUGCAACUCGACUCCAUGAAGUCGGAAUCGCUAGUAAUCGUGGAUCAGAAUGCCACGGUGAAUACGUUCCCGGGCCUUGUACACACCGCCC
Molecule: ribosomal RNA, 649 nt
Filed under: uncultured bacterium
Lineage: Bacteria
Description: bacterial SSU rRNA
Rfam family: Bacterial small subunit ribosomal RNA
Source: RNAcentral